RNAcentral lists this microRNA precursor (97 nucleotides) under Loxodonta africana (African savanna elephant). Its description in RNAcentral is "microRNA 301b (ENSLAFG00000024221.2)". The stretch from base 9 to 90 matches the Rfam family "mir-301 microRNA precursor family". The record is from RNAcentral. Lineage: Eukaryota; Metazoa; Chordata; Mammalia; Proboscidea; Elephantidae.
CCACCUUCUGGCCGCAGGUGCUCUGACGAGGUUGCACUACUGUGCGCUGAGAAGCAGUGCAAUGAUAUUGUCAAAGCAUCUGGGACCAGCCUUGGGG